GGCCCUUUGGCCCAAUGGUAAGGCGUCUGACUACGACCGAGCAUGGUAAAACAUGCCUCAGAGUAAUCAGGAGAUUCUGGGUUCGAGCCCCAGGAGGGUCA
Molecule: transfer RNA, 101 nt
Filed under: Hypoxylon rubiginosum
Lineage: Eukaryota; Fungi; Ascomycota; Sordariomycetes; Xylariales; Hypoxylaceae
Description: tRNA-Arg
Rfam family: tRNA
About the family: Transfer RNA (tRNA) molecules are approximately 80 nucleotides in length.
Source: RNAcentral